AGAGACAGCAGCAGCCACGGUAAUACGUAGGUGGCAAGCGUUGUCCGGAAUUAUUGGGCGUAAAGGGCCCGCAGGCGGUUUCUUAAGUCUGAUGUGAAAGCCCCCGGCUCAACCGGGGAGGGUCAUUGGAAACUGAGAAACUUGAGUGCAGAAGAGGAGAGUGGAAUUCCACGUGUAGCGGUGAAAUGCGUAGAGAUAUGGAGGAACACCAGUGGCGAAGGCGACUCUCUGGUCUGUAACUGACGCUGAGGAGCGAAAGCGUGGGGAGCGAACAGGAUUAGAGACCCCCGUAGUCCCUGUCUCUUAUAC
This 309-nucleotide ribosomal RNA is filed under the name uncultured bacterium. RNAcentral describes it as "partial 16S ribosomal RNA". It matches the Rfam family "Bacterial small subunit ribosomal RNA", at positions 504 to 807 of the family's 1533-position model. The record is from RNAcentral.